CUCCCAACUUUCUACUCCCUUCUCUAACAGAGCUUCUCCUCCCUUUGCUUUGGGGAAACUUGCCCGUGGUUCACCAUGGUUGCAGGCCCUGAAUUGCAAUUCUUUGCUGAUCUAGAACAAACCCAUUUUUGCUGGAGAAAUAACUAGCUGUUUAUUUGCUUAAGGUCACCAUUUUGGUGGCCCAUACAGGGAUACAGAGGAAACCCCUGAGGACUCCGAGGCUGCUGAGGAAACAGGUGGGGUGCUCACAGAGCCCGUUGAGCUCGCUGCUUUUCUCCGGACCCUGGAGUUUGAGACUAAAAGGACCAGGAUGAAGUGGGAAACUAUGUCUACUCCAGAUUUAGUUUAUCUGGCAAACCAAUUCUCUCACACUCAAGUCACUUGAAAGAAAGACUGCUAAAAUUCUCACUGUUCAACUCCAGCAAAUGAAGGCCCCUAAAGGAAACCAAAAACCUCCUAGUUUCUGCUGGUAUUGCAAAGAGCCAGGACACUGGAAAAGAGCUUGUUACAAAUUUAAGUGCUUCAAGUGCCGUUAGCCUUCUAACCAGCCUUUCCGAUGUCCUCCAAAUUCCCACUGAGGGGCCUCGGAGGAACUCCCAGGGCUCUUCCUAAUCCUCGCUCUUAAUGGGCUUGGAGAAGUGUUUCUCCAGAUUGGAGAUGAAUCUCUUUCUAUCCUAAUUGACACCAGAGCCACACUCGGUGCUCAACCUCACUUCUAUAAAGCAGCCCCUGCCUCAGAGUACUAAAACAGUUCAAAUAGGUGGAUCUCUAAUAAACCUCAAAAGGUUCCUGUCUCUGAACCCAUUCCCUUUUGGUGAAGCCCUUUGAGAGACACAUGACCUUUUCUCCUUAGUUCUUCCACCUCUAUCCAUCUCUUAGGCCGAGACUUCUUGGAAGAAUAACAUGCUGAAAUUUCUUAGUCCUGAAAGGUGGAAAUAAUUCUAGAAUUUGACAGCAGCCAUCAAAACAGCCAAUGAGAUGAAUUAAAUGACCCUUUGACAUCUUUUAUUUGUUCCCUCUCUGGUGGUACUGGAGCCGAUUCUGGAAACACUGAUCAUUUGUCCCUAUUGAAUCAGCUACCAGCCUCCUUACAGGCAAAAUCUUCAACUGAUACUGGUAAAAUUCACAGCGUGUCUCUCAUCAAGAUUCAAAUAGAUCCCUCAAAACCUCUCCCCCAAAUUAAUCAAUGCCUUAUAAGUCAAGAAGCUGUUCAAGCUAUAAAGCCCAUAACAGAAGAUCAAGUGGCUCAAGGCCUCCUUACCUCUUGUACUAGUCCCUGUAAUACUCCUGUUUUACCUGUGAGAAAACCCAAGACCUGAGGGUGGAGGUUUGUCCAGGACCUCUGAGCAAUAAACAACAUUGUUAUCCCUCCACAUUCUGGGUUCCUAAUCCUCAUAUGCAACUAACAUCCAUUCCCACUGGAAGCAAAUUCUUUAUAGUAAUUGAUUUAUUCAGUGCAUUCUUUAGUAUUUUAGUUGAUGAAGCUAGUCAAUACCUUUUUACCUUCACUUGGGAAGGAAAACAAUUCACGUGGGCAGUGGGCAGCAAUGUCUCAGGGUUUUACUGAGAGCCCUUAUUUCUCACAAAUCCUGGAGGCUGAUCUGGAUCAUAUAAACUCCCUAGGGUUCUACUUUGUUGCAAUGUGUGAAUGAUUUGCUUCCUUGCUCUCCCUCUCAAGUCUCCUCACAGGAAGACAGCAUCCACUUGCUAAAACGUUUAGCCUUAAAGGGACAUAAGGUCACCAGAGAGAAAUUGCAGCUUGCCCAAACCCAGGUGCAAUGUUUAGGGCGUCUGGUAUCAGGACAAGGGCUACACCUAGAUCCAGAUAGGCUUCGUGGUGGCCUAAGUUUCACAAAACCCCAAACUAAGUUUCAACUGUGAGGUUUUCUCUGGCUAGUUGGUUAUUGCUGAAAUUAGAUUCCAGAUUUUUCUCUUAUGACCAAACCUUUCUACAUUCCUGAAGAACAACCACCCUGACCCAAGUUUAUGGGAAGAACUGGACGGCAUAGACUUGAAGUCCUUAAAGGAGAGUUUAUGAACCCAUCUGCCCUUGGACAUCCCAAUGAUCAGAUUCUCUUUUUCCUUUCUGUAUAGAGAAAGGAAGGGAAUGCCCUUGGGGUACACAACCAAAAACACAGGGACCACCACUGACCCAUAGGGUAUUAUAGCCAGCAAUGGGACCCUGUGGCAUGGGAUACCCCCCUGCCUUAGAGCCCUUACUGCCACUGCCUUUUUGGUUAAGGCCACUGAGAGGAUCAUUGUGGGACCACCUUUAACCAUUUUUGUCCCUCAUGCAGUAGAAGCCCUCCUGAGUCCUCAGCACACUCAACACGUUUCGUCUCACCUUCUAUGAAAUCCUUUUGUUAACUUCUCACAUAACUCUUUUAUGUUGUAAUAACCUUAAACCUGCCACUCUUCUCCCCUCCGUUACUGACAAAGUCCCUCACGACUGCUGAACACUGGCAGAUCACCUCCCAGCUUCUCAAGAUGAUGUGCAGGAAGCUCCUUUGGGUAAAGCCAGCCCCUCAUGGUUCACUGAUGGUUCUUACUAAAGGUGACAAUGGCAAAUGCUGUGCUGGGUGUGAUAUUUCAACUCCUUUUGAUAUCAUUGAGGCAGUGCCUUUACCUAUGGCUGCUUCAGCUCAACGUGCUGAAUUAUACACUUUUACGUGGGCUUGUACUUUAGCCAAGGGCAAAACUGCCAAUAUUUAUACUGAUAGUAGAUAGGCUUUCUGAGUAGCUCAUGAUGUUGGAAUGUUGUAGAGGCAAUGUGUCUUCCUUGCUUCCAGUGGAAGUAAAAUUAAAAAUGGCCCCUGCAUUCAGGAUUACUGGAUGCUAUAUUUUUACCUGCUGCUUUAGCUAUUGUAAAGACCCUGGGGCAUUCUAAACCUGACUCUCUGGAAACUGAAGGAAAUCACCUUGCUGAUAUUUCUGUAAGGAAUGCAGCCCUUAAAGGAGCCAGCAAUAACCAAACCUUUCUCAUGGUCCCAAGGGAUGUUUCCCCAAAUGAUAACUUAGAAAAACUGGCUAGAGAAGCCCAACGUUGGCCUCAGAAAAGAAAAAACAAGAGUAGAAAUUCAAUAAUCAUUGGUUUGAUAAAAAGAGAAAGUUCUGGUUCCAACCAAAGAACAACUCAGUCCUAUUGGGAACUCUAAAAUUCCCACUCCUAACCACUGUACAUGCAUUAAACCAUUGGCCUACUGACAAAAUUAUAGCAUUCAUGAAACAAUAUUGGUGGCAAAGUAUCAACAAGGCCGCAAAAAGUGUCUACUUCACUUGUCCCACUUGUCCAAAAUACAAUUCAAGGAAGCCUGUUCAUACUGCUCCCAGACGAUUUAAACUGCUUAAUGGUCCAUUUGAGGUUUAGCAAAUGGAUUUCAUACAAUGUCCCCCGUUUCGUGGCUAUAAAUAUGCUUUAGUCAUGGUCUGUAUGUUUUCUCACUGGACUGCGGCCUUCUCUUGCAGACAGGCUACUGCCUCUUCUAUGGCUAAAGUCCUUCCGGAAAGGGUUAUCCCUGCCUGGGGAACUCCUCUCGAACUUCAUGAUGCUGGAGGGAUCCAGUUUACUGGUCAGGGACUUUGAUAAGUCUGCACUGUUUGGCCAGUUUUAAGACACUUUCACUGUACUUACCAGCCUCAAUCUUCUGGUUUAGUGGAACACACUAACGGCAUUAUUAAGACUCAAUGGGCAAAGUUUGUAGAGACCCUCCAAAUACCUUGGCCAGAAGCAUUCCAGUUGGUCCUUCUAAAUAUCAGAUCCACACCCUUUGAACUCAUAAACUCUCAUCCUUUGAGAGAGUCGCAGGAUGCCGACUGCACUGGCUCCUGCCUCUCUUGACCCACACCCAAUAAAAGGAGAUAGUCUCCAAUAUUGCAAAUGCCUAACUGCUUCUAUUCAAAAUAACCACGUUUUGGUAGAGCAAUCUCUUCACAGUGCGCUCCAGGGAGACAGAGACCUAAAGCACAACACCUUGCAACCUGGAGAUUUUGUCUAUUGAAAAAGACACCUCCAGAAGGACUCAACCUCGCUGGAAAGCUCCUAUCAGGUACCGUCAACUAACCUUGUACUGCAAAACUCCAGGAAACAGACUCUUGGAUUCACGUGACACACAUAAAGAAAGCACCAAACCCUGACUGGACCUGCACAUCAUCUGGUGACUUAAAAGUAAAGAUUUCCUGGGAUUGAAGCGGAUGACAUCUAAUGAAACAUUUUCUCAAGAUGUUCACACCAGGCCUGCUGGAAGUUUGUCUGCCAAACCUUUGAUGAUGACGUGACGUUUCAGAUGAUCUCCAGUGCCUAUGAUCUCGAUAACAUAUGGACUUUAGCAAAGAAAAAUGCCUGAGAGUUCUCCCUCCCACACCUCCUUUUUACUCAAAUGUGGCCGUAAUAGCUUUCCAGUCUGUGCGCUUUCCUUCCGAUGUGGGACACCACAUCCAGGAAAGGUCCUUGCUGGCACCCACAGACAAAAAGUUGAUGAAACCGGACAAACCUGACUCUUGAUCACUGAUGCUUUCAGAGAAAGACCUUGAUGGAAAGGAGAAAUGUGGAAAUUAAUAAACAGAAACCUCAUUAAAUUGGAGUCAGGAGGCCAAAAGGGGGAGCCCUCAUGCCCUAUGUGACAGCAGAGCCCAAGAGGAAGAAGAAAGAUUUCCUCUUCUUGAUGGACAAGAAACUCAACCAAUGAGAGGCUGUCACAACUCAACCAAUGAAAAGCCACUACCCCUAGAACUCUUUGUUUACAAUAGUCCUCCCAACUUCCUCUUCCUGUCUAUAAAAGUUUCUCCUCCCUUUGCUGCUGGGGACUUGCAUGUGGCUCGCCCUGGUUCCAAGCCCCAAACUGCAACUCUUUGCUGAUCUGGAAUAAACCCAUUUUCGCUAGAGAAAUAACCAGCUGUCUAUUUGCUUAAGGUCAAUAGCAGUACAUAGUAAACAUUCAAGAAAUGUCCAUUGGAUCAAAUUUAAUGUUUGUAUCUACAUGGGUAGAAAGAACACUACUCAUAGCAUAUUUUAUACCAAG
RNAcentral lists this long non-coding RNA (5018 nucleotides) under Equus caballus (horse). RNAcentral describes it as "lncRNA (ENSECAG00000057464.1)". The record is from RNAcentral. Lineage: Eukaryota; Metazoa; Chordata; Mammalia; Perissodactyla; Equidae.